Molecule: long non-coding RNA, 1812 nt
Organism: Onychostoma macrolepis
Lineage: Eukaryota; Metazoa; Chordata; Actinopteri; Cypriniformes; Cyprinidae
Exons: 3
Source: RefSeq, a predicted model, not a curated record
UCAUGUACAUAAAUGCUGCUAACAUAUUAUUGUAGCCCAGUUUGUGCUGUUUACAGUGAUAUAAGACUUUAGCCAUUUAUAUGUUUAUAAGCAACUGAAAAAAGCACAAAUGUAAGGGCAUGUCAAAACUUCUCCAGGCCCCCAAAACACCCUCAGACCCCAGAGGGUUAACCAGCAUGGAUGGCCAGUAUAAUUAAAGAAAUUAAAUGGUAAGUGAAAUAUAAAUAUUUGUUUUGCUGAAGAAAUUGUAUAUUAUUCAAAACACACUGUAUUUGGUUGUUGUAGAUGUUCAUAUAUCUCAGAGAGCACUGUUAAAGUUUUAGCUCCACCUUAUCAGAGAGCUGAAAAGAGGAAGUCAGAGGAAACAUGACCAACCUGCAGCAAAACAAUAACACAAAAGGUCUGGACUCAUUACUUGUUUGGUCAUCUACAUUCAGAUGAAAACACCACACUUCUCCUAAUUCAAGAUGUCAAGCCUACUCAUCACAAAGAGAGUUAGCAUCAGAAUGGAUGUGUCACUGACCAAUAACACAGCAUCUGUUUGCAGUCUACUUUUUGUUCAGUAUGGAGCAUCCAAAAUCCAUCACUCAGUUAAUUUCAAUCAUUACUAUUGAGCCCUUCCCAGUGCUGAAAUUGUCCUGGGUCCUUUGUUUUUAUUGUUUAAAUGCUUAUCUGAAUGUAAAAUUAAUAUUUAAUGCUUAUAAAUGAAUAAAAAACAAUACUAUGGUUAGUCUUUUAGCUCCCUUUUCAGAAACAUGUGGUUCACCUUCUUUCAUGGGUUACAGAACUGGGGAAAGUUGCAGUAUGCAAAAAAAAAAAGUCAGACUACUUGGUUUAUAGGUUUAUAGGAGAAUGUAUCAUUAAUAUACUAUUUGAUGACAAACAUUUCACAUUCUAAUUUUAUUUAUAACUUCAUUUAUUUGUGCAAGUUAACAUUCAAUUUUUUUUUUUUUUUGUGGUUUCAACAUAUCAACAUAUCAAUCAACAUAUAUAUGUGACAAACAUGUUGGAUACGGGGGGGGGUUGAAAAAACAAUAUUUCUAAAAUGGAGAGUGCUAUUUUAGGUUGACAGGUAAAAAUAUAUAUUUUUAAAAAGUAUAAAUAAAUAAAGAAACAUGGAUUUAUGUUAAUCCCUGUAACUGUUGCACUAUGAAUUGCUGUGUUAUAUAUUGCUUGUCAUUGUAAAUGCUAAUAAAAGUGUCUUAAAUGAUCACACAACUCCUUGAUGUCUUAUGCUUAUAGUUAUUUCAGUUUUUCUAGUGAUAAAGUAGCUAUAUGAGCUGUUUAAGUCUUAAAAUUUAAUUAAAAUAAAACAAAAAUUAAAUCCCAAAAAUGAUCCCAUGAUGGGAACCCCUAAAGAGUUCUAUAUAGAACAUUUUAGGGGUUCCAAAUAUGUAGCGCCUGAUAGAACCUUUUAAGGUUCUAUAUAGAACCUUUUCUUCUAAGAGUGUAGUUAAAAUGUGCAGCAAGAUAGUGGGGACCAAAUUUAUGAACAUAUUGAGCAGGAAGGGCCAUUUAGUCCUUUCCGAUGUCACCCACCCAUUGUGUACUGAAUUUCAACUGCUUCCCUCUGGAGAUAUAAACUCCCUUUGUGCAAAUCAAAUAGAUUUAAGAAUUAUUUUAUGCCUGCUGAAUAAUGUUUUUAAAUGACUUCUUAUAAAUGUGUGUUAUUUAGUGUGUGUUGUGUUGCUGUUUAUGUAUGUAUACUGUUGUGUACAUAAAUAAUUGCCUUUAAGGAUGAUAAAGUUAAGUAAGUUUAAUUUACUUUUAAUAAAACUUUUUUUUUGCUUGCAUGAGUGGAGGAAACCUUAA